GAUAAUUUUUUGGGUAUUGUUUUACUGUUGUUUUAAUUUUAACGAUUUUGAUAGAAGAUAGACUUUAUGACGUUUAAGUAUUGUACCUACUUACUUAGAAUUGGGAGAAUACAUUAGUUCGGUGGCCAGCAGGUCGACCUAUCCAGGUUGUUGUAUCCUAUAACAUCUUUAACUUUAUUGUAUUGGUAUAAAGUCGAACACUUAAUGAAUAAAUUUGGAUUUGAUUGAUCUGGUGGCCAGUGUCCCUUUUUUAAUUUAAGUUUCAAACACAGGAUAUAAUAUUAUUAUGUAUGUAUUUCGAAAUGGUCCAUCACAUUUUUUUAAAUGUACUAAUUUUAUGUAAAACUGAUAUUUUCUAGAAAUAACAUAAUCACUAAAUGUUUUGUGCGAGUAUGUUUUCAGAUGACCUGAAUUUUACAUGAUGAGGUACAACUUUGAUAAAGCGUGGAAAAAGGACAUGCAAAAUGGUCCUUUGGAGCAUGAAGCCAGAUGAGACUGAAUAAAAACGGCGCUGCAACGUUUUAGCUGAGACCAGAAAACUAAAUUCAACGUAGUUCAUGACUGACACACGAGAUGGCACGACUAGUCUCUUCUCU
Molecule: non-coding RNA, 596 nt
Organism: Spodoptera litura
Lineage: Eukaryota; Metazoa; Arthropoda; Insecta; Lepidoptera; Noctuidae
Source: RefSeq, a predicted model, not a curated record